RNAcentral lists this microRNA precursor (182 nucleotides) under Dasypus novemcinctus (nine-banded armadillo). Its description in RNAcentral is "miRNA (ENSDNOG00000041328.1)". The record is from RNAcentral. Lineage: Eukaryota; Metazoa; Chordata; Mammalia; Cingulata; Dasypodidae.
ACCUCAGCAGUGAGAUACUCCAGAAUUGCAGCACUGUACACUGCAGCAGUGGCACCAACCCUCCCAUGGCUGGUAGUACGAGUCUUCAAGUGUCUGUGGAUACGGCCCACUGGAAACUGAAACAGAAACUGUCUUAAGUGCAAAGUACUGAAGAAUCUUAAAUUUUCAAUAUAAAAUUUAAU